GAUUCAAUGGUCUAGUGGUUAUGAUUUGUGUCUCACAUCUGUACUGCACGUUUGUGUACCACACAAGGUCUCCAGUUCGAUCCUGGGUUGAAUCA
Molecule: transfer RNA, 95 nt
Filed under: Armillaria solidipes
Lineage: Eukaryota; Fungi; Basidiomycota; Agaricomycetes; Agaricales; Physalacriaceae
Description: tRNA-Val
Source: RNAcentral